UUCAAUCCAUCUCCGGUGCAACUCCGACCACUGGGUAAAUAGAAAGGCUACAUUUCACACCAUUUUCCCCAAAUUUUGUGUCGAUCCUGCAACUGAAAACCCAUCCAUAUCGAGCCAAAAUUCAGGGAAUUGACCGGCGGACUCCGAGCUAUUUGUAAACAAGAGGUCGAUCGUGUUUUGUAUAUCGACACCACUUUCAUCAACAAGUCCAAAAUUUGCACUAACCCCAAAUGGCAGACAAGGGCAUUGAAGUUAAACAGCCAAACUCUGCUAUUGGUAAAUGUGCUGGGGUUCAACUCAUUAAGAAUGACAAGAAGAUUGCUGCUCUUGUCCCCCAUGAUGGUUGUUUAAAUGUGCUUUAGUUUGUUGGUGAAAUUAGUUCAUCUAGAAAUGUUAAUACUUCUUAAGCAUGAUGGACGCUUGAUAUGUAAUUUGCUGGAUUUUAUUUCUUUUUCGAGUCUCUCUCUCUCUCUCUCUCACAGUUGGAACAUUGCAUGCAUUUUUUUUUUAUUGAUAAUCAAGUAAUAUGUUUUGUCCAAAGUAACUGAAAUACUGUGUAACUUGGGCAUCGCUUUUCGGCCAUGUGAUAGUCCUUUCUAAAUGUGGACAAGGCACAAUACUGGCUUAAUGACUCAGCUUGGUCGAGCUCACCUGUGCUAGUCGUGGAGGAUCGGUACUUCUCCAAGGCCGCAGGCCCGCAGCUGCUAUUUUGUCCCAUGAUAGAAGGCUAAUAUAAGUUUGUUGUCACAAAAAAGUUUGUUGAUUCAAUUUGUAUAUUUGCUUAUCAAAUUGUGUCCACACUUUUGAUAUGUUAGUUGGCUAACAUUUAUUUUUGAUAAAAACAGCUCUUUCUAGUACACAGUAUCUUGGAUAAAACAAUGUUACAACUAUUCAACUUCGUUCAAACGUACACGUAUUUGCAUUUUAUUGCUUGACUAUUCAAAUGUACACACUUUGCCAUAUUAUUUAUUUAUGUGGAAAUUACACUGGAUGUCAUUUUUUGGGUUUGAAUUUACAAAAAAGUCACAUUUUAAUAGUUUUGACCAAACUAUCACUUUAUGACUUUUAUGGCCCUCAAAAAAAAUUGAAAUACCUUGGAUGUCCUUAAUUAAAAUUGAUUUGAUUAGAUGAAAGAAUAGUACAAAAAGUUAAUUUGCAUCACAUCAAAAGCUCCCAUCUCACUACUUACAAGAAAAAA
Olea europaea var. sylvestris is the source of this 1198-nucleotide long non-coding RNA. RefSeq lists it as uncharacterized. NCBI's taxonomy places the organism in Eukaryota, Viridiplantae, Streptophyta, Magnoliopsida, Lamiales, Oleaceae. The record is from RefSeq and is a predicted model, not a curated record. The transcript is spliced from 2 exons.